GUCGAGAAUCUUUCACAAUGGGGGCAACCCUGAUGGAGCGACGCCGCGUGGAGGAUAAGGUCUUCGGAUUGUAAACUCCUGUCAUGCGUGAACAAGGUUGCUUGGUUAAUACCUGGGCAAAUUGAUGGUAACGCAAGAGGAAGAGACGGCUAACUCUGUGCCAGCAGCCGCGGUAAUACAGAGGUCUCAAGCGUUGUUCGGAAUCACUGGGCGUAAAGGGUGCGUAGUUGGCGUGGUAAGUCAGAUGUGAAAGCCCGGGGCUCAACCUCGGAACUGCAUCCGAUACUGCCAUGCUAGAGGACUGGAGAGGUGACUAGAAUUCUCGGUGUAGCAGUGAAAUGCGUAGAUAUCGAGAGGAAUACCAAAGGCGUAGGCAGGUCACUGGACAGUUACUGACACUGAGGCACGAAGGCCAGGGGAGCGAACGGGAUUAGAAACCCCUGUAGUCC
Molecule: ribosomal RNA, 449 nt
Filed under: uncultured bacterium
Lineage: Bacteria
Description: partial 16S ribosomal RNA
Rfam family: Bacterial small subunit ribosomal RNA
Source: RNAcentral